UUUUUUUUUUUUUUAUUCCUCAGCUCUUUUUACAGUGACAAUAGGACCCUUUCCCUGUGGGUUUCCUGCGAUGUAUGGUAAAUACACAUGACAGUGGAGGGAGAAUAAAAAUCCUGAUCAAAGUUGGGCAUAUUCAUGAGACAGCUUCAGCAACAUGUGCUGAAUAUGCUACGUUAUCCACAAGAUGGACCCAUCUUACCCAGUACACAGGGCACACAUAAUAUCAGUGAAGAAAAAUAAGGAGAAACCCAUUUCGCGAACAACACAGAGUAGCAAACAUUUUAUUUGGAUGCUAUGAAAAAUCCAGUGGUCCCUAUGAUGUCAGAAAUUGUCACACAUCAAAAACAGUUAUGUUUUAGUGAUAGAACAGAAACAGCAUUUUUAUUUUUGGACAAUACAGGUGAGUCCAACUACACUGUUCUUUCAAAAAAUAUAUAUUUUACCAUCAAAGAGAAAGAACACUUGUAAUACCCAAGUGAACUUUUAAAAGCUUCACAAAAUGCUGAUUUAUAGCUAUGGGGUGAAAUUCCAAUAAUAGGAAAUGAACUUUCUGGUCAGGGCACGUCCUGUCCAAGAUGAAAUCAAUGAAUGCGCAAUGCUUGACAUAAUGCUUGAAAACAGGGAAUAAACAGAACAAAAAUAUUAAAAUGAUGCACUGUUUCAGUAUUAAGAUUUAACAAUCUGGUGCUGAAUAUGCUGCAGUAUAAAUAGUGCCUGGACUCAGAUCCAAUAAAGUAACACAGCUCUCAUUCAUACUACCGUAUGUCUCUAGUUCUGGCUCCUUAAGUCAUAUUUCACUUGCCAAGAAAAGCUGUUUUCUUGUGGGGAUAGUUUUCCUAACAUUCUCUCUCAUGACAAUGAAAAGUGCACAGCACACAGCAUGUAACAGUCAUGAAAUGAGCAUCCAGGGCCCACUGGACAGCCAUCCAGGAAAGGAUGAGUCUGCUUCCCUACUUCCUUUGUGCCUUCUGACAUUGGAAAGUACUAAAAAGAUACCAAAACCAACUAUCAUGAUAACCCAUGAGUAGAGUAUAGAUUGACCAUCCUCUAAAGAUGCUAUUUUAUUAUAAGGGAUCAGAGGAAAAAAAAUGAAGUCAGCAACUGCACACUGUCAUAAACAAGUAGAAGCAUUUGGUGGGUCAUCUUGGUUACUAAGAAUACGAGGGUAGCAUGAAGUAAAUGAAUCCUAUAAACUUUAAUGCACAAUGCUCUAGAGGCGGUUCAUCCAUGCUGUUGUGUGUGUCACUGUUCAUCCCUUUCUAUCACUGAGAAGGGUGUCAAUGUAAAAAUACCCCACAAUGCAGCAGACACAACAGAAUAUCCUCGAAUGCUUUCAUUUAUAUAAAAUACAAGAACAUGGAGUUCCUGUCGUGGCUCAUAAACGAUGGGAGAAAAUAAAGUUCUUGGGUACAGAUGUAACACCAUCAAAGCAACACUUUGGGGUGAUGACCCUGUACCGGAAUUCAGGUGGAUUAAAAGGGGGAAGCAUUCUGAGGGGAGAAAAACUGAAAUAAUCCAAAUGGGUCUAUCUAACUACAACCAUAACACCCUCUUCCUGGUUAACUCUAAGAAAGGAUACAGACCCAACAAAUGCUACAAUACAAUGAAGGAGGACAAAGACUGAAGAACAGACUAUGUGCCCUCUAGGGAGAUCUGACUCGCAGUGCUGGAGAAAUCUCAAUGAAAACAGCUGGUGAUUAAAUCAGAUAGUGCAUGCUCUCUCUCUCUAUGCGCACACACACACACACACACCCUGAGCCCAGCCAGGCACACCAUACAUGCUCAAUAAAUGGCAAUUUCUAAUUCUUCUCUGAAUAUAUAACACACUCUCACUCUGUCUGGUGUACUGAUCCCACUCAUCCACCUCUAGAAACUGUACACAUUCUUCAGAUUCUGCCACAAGAACAAUUCCAACCCAGAUCAACCCAGCUUGCAAUAAUCCCUUUCUCUGAACAGAUACACAAUAAAUACUCGUGGUUGUGCAGCUUAUAAGGAACUUACUUUACAAUUUACAAAGUGUUUUUUUUUUUUCCAAACCACUAGUUCACCCUCAUGAGGAGAGCAGAGAAAGUGAGGUGAAGUUUAGAGAAGAGUGAAUUUUCAAGGACAUCAGUAGUGACAGCCAGGACUAGACCCUGGGCUUCAUCUGACAAGUUUUCUUACUAAUGGACCAACACCCUUUCUACUCAGCUCUGCCCAUGGGCUAAUGCCCAACCAAAUGGUCAUGCAUGGGUCAGGGUCUUGACAUUUAAUGCUAAACAAAGGGACAUAUGAGACCAAUGAGCAAACAGGUGGCAGGCCCUGAAGAGCCAGCUACACUAGAGACUCCUUUGGAAAAAACUGUCUCCCACAACAGUGCCAUUUCAGACAUAAACAUUGUUUCCCAAAUCAUCUUUCCUAUUUGCAAAGAAUUUAUCAUCUGCAAACAUUUACAAAAUGCCUGGUGCUGAGGACUAUUACAGAUUCAGUUUCAAGGUCUUUGAGUCGCAAAUUAUGGGCGUUUAUUUAUACAAAUGUUAACAUGAUUGAAUUGAGCAUAAUAUCAAUAAAAUUGUUUAUAUCCAGACAAAUCUGUUCACUAAAAUAGAGAGGUCCAAUCCACUCUUCGUGUAAUGCCUUUAGACAAAAUAACAAAAUGCAAUUGUAGGUAAAUUUCCCAUUAGUGACAUAAAAUUAGGCUGGGAAUGGAGGCAAUUUUUGUCUAAAAUUAAAAGAAGGCCAUAAUGGAAACCAGUUUUUCACUCAAUGCAGUAUUCUGCCAAAAAGUGGACUUAUCACAAAAAAGAAAUAUCAAUAGUUGCUCGUGCCCAUACAUAUUUGUUAUUUUUACCAGUUUAUAACCUAUCUCAAAGAAACCAAAUACUCUUCUCGGUAGAUGCAUAAUUCAUAUCCUUAGUAUUAUUUACCUCUAAUUAUGUAAAACAAGAGUGAUGAUAAUACACAUUACAGUUCAUCAAUAUUUAAUUCAAGUCUUUAGUAAGUUGAUCAUUUCUGAGGAUAAAAUAAAAUGUGCUGAUAGCACAAUAUGACCAAUAACACAUCAAAAGGGCUUGUACCAAGCACUAAUCAUUCAUUUAUUCAACACUUUUCCUUUUGUGUCUCCAGCAUAAGUCACUAAGAUGCAAAGAUAACCCAAUACACCCCAUCCCUGUAAUUAUGGAGCUCACAAUUGAGUAGUAUGUACUAUUGCUAAAUACUGAGCAAAGUGAAAUCAUUCUUAAAGUGAACCAAAAUGAUAGCUUUUGCCCCCUGUACCUCAAAUAUAAGAAAUAUUUACGAAGGCCUGCAACAGAUCAUCUAUAAAGUACAAGAGAAUAAUUCUCACUUUGUGGUGACAUAGAGAUAGAUGCUGAUAAAAUAGGUAUACAGGCAUAUUAUAGAACAAAGUCCCCAAAUCAAUCUGUGAGACAGAUAUAGGAACCCAGCAAGCUAUCAGCAGUAUUCCUAUAGAACAGCUCAAUGAAUAAUUUUCUUUUAUUCCAGGUGCAUUUUAACAUUAAUUUCCAAAGCAAAAUCAAA
Molecule: long non-coding RNA, 3519 nt
Filed under: Sus scrofa (pig)
Lineage: Eukaryota; Metazoa; Chordata; Mammalia; Artiodactyla; Suidae
Description: lncRNA (ENSSSCG00045033739.1)
Source: RNAcentral